AGCGGACUGAUGGGAGCUUGCUCCCUGAUGUUAGCGGCGGACGGGUGAGUAACACGUGGGCAACCUGCCUGUAAGACUGGGAUAACUCCGGGAAACCGGGGCUAAUACCGGAUAACCCGUUCCACCUCAUGGUGGAGCGGUAAAAGAUGGCCUCUGGCUAUCACUUACAGAUGGGCCCGCGGCGCAUUAGCUAGUUGGUAAGGUAACGGCUUACCAAGGCGACGAUGCGUAGCCGACCUGAGAGGGUGAUCGGCCACACUGGGACUGAGACACGGCCCAGACUCCUACGGGAGGCAGCAGUAGGGAAUCUUCCGCAAUGGACGAAAGUCUGACGGAGCAACGCCGCGUGAGUGAUGAAGGUUUUCGGAUCGUAAAGCUCUGUUGUUAGGGAAGAACAAGUGCCGUUUGAAUAAGGCGGCACCUUGACGGUACCUAACCAGAAAGCCACGGCUAACUACGUGCCAGCAGCCGCGGUAAUACGUAGGUGGCAAGCGUUGUCCGGAAUUAUUGGGCGUAAAGCGCGCGCAGGCGGUCUCUUAAGUCUGAUGUGAAAGCCCACGGCUCAACCGUGGAGGGUCAUUGGAAACUGGGAGACUUGAGUACAGAAGAGGAGAGUGGAAUUC
Molecule: ribosomal RNA, 623 nt
Filed under: Bacillus subtilis
Lineage: Bacteria; Bacillati; Bacillota; Bacilli; Caryophanales; Bacillaceae
Description: bacterial SSU rRNA
Rfam family: Bacterial small subunit ribosomal RNA
Source: RNAcentral